Molecule: ribosomal RNA, 301 nt
Filed under: uncultured bacterium
Lineage: Bacteria
Description: partial 16S ribosomal RNA
Rfam family: Bacterial small subunit ribosomal RNA
Source: RNAcentral
CAGCAGCCACGGGAAUACGUAGGUGGCAAGCGUUGUCCGGAAUUAUUGGGCGUAAAGGGCUCGCAGGCGGUUUCUUAAGUCUGAUGUGAAAGCCCCCGGCUCAACCGGGGAGGGUCAUGGAAACUGGGAAACUUGAGUGCAGAAGAGGAGAGUGGAAUUCCACGUGUAGCGGUGAAAUGCGUAGAGAUGUGGAGGAACACCAGUGGCGAAGGCGACUCUCUGGUCUGUAACUGACGCUGAGGAGCGAAAGCGUGGGGAGCGAACAGGAUUAGAUACCCGCGUAGUCCCUGUCUCUUAUACA